Molecule: unclassified non-coding RNA, 818 nt
Filed under: Owenia fusiformis
Lineage: Eukaryota; Metazoa; Annelida; Polychaeta; Sabellida; Oweniidae
Description: misc RNA OFUS_LOCUS1622
Source: RNAcentral
UAUCAAUAAUCUUGAAAAGUCUUACACGCUUAAUGAGAGUCAUCAAAGCAAAUAAGCCUUUCAUAUCAACGAAGCAGACCAAAAUUUUAAUAACCAAAAAAUCAAUAAAUAACCUAACGAUAUUGACUUGUAAUUUUCUCUUGGCCUUAUGUGAUGUAUAAAUCUGGCAUUUCACAGACAUUAUGAGCACAUCUCUCAAGAUGCAAGCAGAUUCCACUCAAUCUGACAUGCCAUCAAAAAGGGCCAAGACAAAAUCAAAGAAACGUAAAAAAUCCACAUCUGAAGACAGAAAAAAGCUGGAGAAGGCGAAACGGAUGAAAAAAUCAGCUCCUAAGAAGAAGGCAAAGCGGGGAACUAAUGAAGAUGAUGAUGAAAAUCUCAGUGAUGACAGUGACCUUGACCUUGAAAAAGAAGUCCUGCCGAUCGGGAAGUUCAUCAAAAAUAGAGAGACUCUGAUUAACGAAAUCUUCCACUCAUUGAGGGGUUCCCGCUUGGGCAACAUGGUUCCCGACAUCUUAAAGUCAGUCAGCCAGGAUGAACUGAAGAAACUUUGUCUUGAGCAGCUUCUCAUCAUGUCCCGCAAACGCAUCAAAAGAAUCAUUGACGGUGAUGACCCAGACUUUAUAUCAUCAUCAGGAACAGAGGAUGAGUCUUCAGAUGAAGAGGCUGUUCUGGAAGAAGAAGCUGUUGUGGAUGAAGAGCUGGAUGGUUGGGAAUACAACCCUGAAGGUGAAGAUGCUGUUGCUAAUGGAGAUGACGAGGAUUCUGAAAUGGUUGACUCCACUAACAUAGAGGUAGCAGACAAUGAUGCUGAACAG